RNAcentral lists this ribosomal RNA (433 nucleotides) under uncultured bacterium. Its description in RNAcentral is "partial 16S ribosomal RNA". It matches the Rfam family "Bacterial small subunit ribosomal RNA", at positions 29 to 507 of the family's 1533-position model. The record is from RNAcentral.
AGCGAACGCUGGCGGCAGGCCUAACACAUGCAAGUCGAACGGAUCCUUCGGGAUUAGUGGCGGACGGGUGAGUAACACAUGGGAACGUGCCCGUUGGUUCGGAACAACUCAGGGAAACUUGAGCUAAUACCGGAUGUGCCCUUCGGGGGAAAGAUUUAUCGCCAUUGGAGCGGCCCGCGUCUGAUUAGCUAGUUGGUGAGGUAACGGCCCACCAAGGCGACGAUCAGUAGCUGGUCUGAGAGGAUGAUCAGCCACACUGGGACUGAGACACGGCCCAGACUCCUACGGGAGGCAGCAGUGGGGAAUCUUGCGCAAUGGGCGAAAGCCUGACGCAGCCAUGCCGCGUGAAUGAUGAAGGUCUUAGGAUUGUAAAAUUCUUUCAGCGGGGACGAUAAUGACGGUACCCGCAGAAGAAGCUCCGGCUAACUUCGUG